AAUAAGGUGCCUGAUUAAAGGGUUACUUUGAUAGAGUAAAUAAUGUGAUUAUUCACCCUUGUUA
RNAcentral lists this transfer RNA (64 nucleotides) under Ilyocoris cimicoides. Its description in RNAcentral is "tRNA-Ile". The record is from RNAcentral. Lineage: Eukaryota; Metazoa; Arthropoda; Insecta; Hemiptera; Naucoridae.